RNAcentral lists this ribosomal RNA (1243 nucleotides) under metagenome. RNAcentral describes it as "bacterial LSU rRNA". It matches the Rfam family "Bacterial large subunit ribosomal RNA", at positions 1564 to 2816 of the family's 2925-position model. The record is from RNAcentral.
UGAGUACGAGAUGCUACGGCAUCGAAGCAGUCUAUGUCAUACUUCCAAGAAAAGCUUGCACUGUCAUAAACAAAGAAUGCCUGUACCAUAACCGACACAGGUGGGUAGGUAGAGUAUACUAAGGGGCGCGAGAUAACUCUCUCUAAGGAACUCGGCAAAAUGACUCCGUAACUUCGGGAGAAGGAGUGCCUUAUUUCUAAGGUUGCAAUAACAAGAUCCAAGCAACUGUUUACCAAAAACACAGGUCUCCGCUAAGUCGUAAGACGAUGUAUGGGGGCUGACGCCUGCCCAGUGCCAGAAGGUUAAAGGAGUUGGUUAGCAUUAGCGAAGCUGAUAACUGAAGCCCUGGUGAACGGCGGCCGUAACGAUAACGGUCCUAAGGUAGCGAAAUUCCUUGUCGGGUAAGUUCCGACCCGCACGAAAGGCGUAAUGAUUUGGAUACUGUCUCGGAGAGGGGCUCGGUGAAAUAGACUUGUCUGUGAAGAUGCGGACUACCUGCACCUGGACAGAAAGACCCUAUGAAGCUUUACUGUAACUUGAGAUUGAAAUUGGACUUUAUUUGCGCAGUAUAGGUGGGAGGCGUUGAGAAUAAUCUUGCGGGAUUGUUGGAGCCAUCAGUGAGAUACCACUCUUGUAAUGUUAGAUUUCUAACUUUGUAUCAUUAUCUGGUCAAAGAACAGUUUCAGGCGGGCAGUUUGACUGGGGCGGUCGCCUCCCAAAGGGUAACGGAGGCGCACAAAGGUUUCCUCUGAACGGGUAGAGAUCGUAUCUAGAGUGUAAAGGCAUAAGGAAGCUUGACUGUGAGACCUACAAGUCGAGCAGGGACGAAAGUCGGUCUUAGUGAUCUGACGGUGCUGAGUGGAAAGGCCGUCACUCAACGGAUAAAAGUUACUCUAAGGAUAACAGGCUGAUCUCCCCCAAGAGUUCACAUCGACGGGGAGGUUUGGCACCUCGAUGUCGGCUCAUCGCAUCCUGGGGCGGUAGUCCGUCCCAAGGGUUGGGCUGUUCGCCCAUGAAAGCGGUACGCGAGCUGGGUUCAGAACGUCGUGAGACAGUUCGGUCCAUAUCCGGUGUAGGCGUUAGAAUAUUGAGAGGAGCCUUCUCUAGUACGAGAGGACCGAGAAGGACAUACCUCUGGUGUACCAGUUAUCGUGCCAACGGUAAACGCUGGGUAGCUAUGUAUGGAGUGGAUAACCGCUGAAAGCAUCUAAGUGGGAAGCCCACCUCAAGAUAAGUAUUCUCA